CCUACGGGAGGCAGCAGUGGGGAAUAUUGGGCAAUGGAGGAAACUCUGAACCAGCAAAGCCGCGUGAAGGAAGAAGGUCUUCGGAGUGUAAAGUUCUUUAGUCAGGGGAGAAAAGAAUGACGGUACCUGAAGAAUAAGCUCCGGCUAACUACGUGCCAGGAGCCGCGGUAAUACGGAGGGAGCAAGCGUAGUUCGGAAUGAAUGGGCGUAAAGGGUGAGUAGGCGGUUAUACAAGUUAGAAGUGAAAUACCCAGGGCUUAACUCUGGUGCUGCUUCUAAAACUGUAAGACUUGAGUGCAGUAGAGGUUGGUGGAAUUCCUAGUGUAGCGGUGAAAUGCGUAGAUAUUAGGAGGAACACCAGUGGCGAAGGCAGCUAACUAGACUGCAACUGACGCUGAGGCACGAAAGUGUGGGGAGCAAACAGGAUUAGAUACCCUAGUAGUC
RNAcentral lists this ribosomal RNA (444 nucleotides) under uncultured bacterium. RNAcentral's name for it is "partial 16S ribosomal RNA". It matches the Rfam family "Bacterial small subunit ribosomal RNA", at positions 338 to 795 of the family's 1533-position model. The record is from RNAcentral.